This 84-nucleotide transfer RNA is filed under the name Actinoplanes lutulentus. RNAcentral's name for it is "tRNA-Leu". It matches the Rfam family "tRNA". From Rfam's summary of the family: Transfer RNA (tRNA) molecules are approximately 80 nucleotides in length. Their secondary structure includes four short double-helical elements and three loops (D, anti-codon, and T loops). Lineage: Bacteria; Bacillati; Actinomycetota; Actinomycetes; Micromonosporales; Micromonosporaceae. The record is from RNAcentral.
GCGGAAGUGGCGAAAUUGGCAUACGCGCGGGCUUUAGGUGCCCGUGCCCGAGAGGGCGUGGGGGUUCAAGUCCCCUCUUCCGCA